GACGAACGCUGGCGGCGUGCUUAACACAUGCAAGUGGAGCGACGAACCAGGGCUUGCCCUGGGGCAGAGCCGCGAACGGGUGAGUAACACGUGGGUUACCUGCCCCGAUGACCGGGACAACCCGAGGAAACUCGGGCUAAUACCGGAUGUGGUCUUCGGACGAAAGGAAGCUUCGGCCUCCGCAUCGGGAUGGGCCCGCGGCGCAUUAGCUUGUUGGGUGGGGUAACGGCCUACCAAGGCUACGANGCGUAGCUGGUCUGAGAGGACGAUCAGCCACACUGGGACUGAGACACGGCCCAGACUCCUACGGGAGGCAGCAGUGGGGAAUCUUGCGCAAUGCGCGAAAGCGUGACGCAGCAACGCCGCGUGGGGGAAGAAGGCC
This 382-nucleotide ribosomal RNA is filed under the name uncultured bacterium. RNAcentral describes it as "bacterial SSU rRNA". It matches the Rfam family "Bacterial small subunit ribosomal RNA", at positions 28 to 416 of the family's 1533-position model. The record is from RNAcentral.